CAGUCGCCGCGGGAAUACGUAGGUGGCAAGCGUUGUCCGGAAUUAUUGGGCGUAAAGGGCUCGCAGGCGGUUUCUUAAGUCUGAUGUGAAAGCCCCCGGCUCAACCGGGGAGGGUCAUUGGAAACUGGGAAACUUGAGUGCAGAAGAGGAGAGUGGAAUUCCACGUGUAGCGGUGAAAUGCGUAGAUAUGUGGAGGAACACCAGUGGCGAAGGCGACUCUCUGGUCUGUAACUGACGCUGAGGAGCGAAAGCGUGGGGAGCGAACAGGAUUAGAUACCCGUGUAGUCCCUGUCUCUUAUAC
This 301-nucleotide ribosomal RNA is filed under the name uncultured bacterium. Its description in RNAcentral is "partial 16S ribosomal RNA". It matches the Rfam family "Bacterial small subunit ribosomal RNA", at positions 509 to 807 of the family's 1533-position model. The record is from RNAcentral.